AAUCAACGCUGGCGGCGCGCUUAACACAUGCAAGUCGAACGAGAAAGGGGAGCAAUCCCUGAGUACAGUGGCGUACGGGUGAGUAACACGUGGAUGAUCUACCUCUUAGUGGGGGAUACCUCUGGGAAACCGGAGACAAUACCGCAUAAGCUCGAGAGAGGAAACCCGCAAGGGGCUGAGAGAGGAGUCCGCGGCCGAUUAGCUAGUUGGUGGGGUAAAGGCCUACCAAGGCAAAGAUCGGUAGCCGGUCUGAGAGGGCACACGGCCACACUGGCUCUGAAACACGGGCCAGACUCCUACGGGAGGCAGCAUUGGGGAAUCUUGCACAAUGGGGGAAACCCUGAUGCAGCGACGCCGCUUGAGCGAUGAAGCCCUUCGGGGUGUAAAGCUCUUUCUA
Molecule: ribosomal RNA, 397 nt
Filed under: uncultured bacterium
Lineage: Bacteria
Description: bacterial SSU rRNA
Rfam family: Bacterial small subunit ribosomal RNA
Source: RNAcentral